AAACUUUUCAAACUUUUUAAACUUUUCAAACUUUUCAGACUUUUUAAACUUUUCAAACUUUCUGGUCCGGCUUUCUCAAGCCAACUUAAAGUUUGUCUUGACAAACUUUUUUAUCUAGUUUCCCUUGUUCUCGUGUUUUCCCGUGUUUAGUUCUCUCGCCUGGUCAUCUCGUUUUCGACUGUCUCGCCGCCUGCCUUUUUGGACUAUCGCUCGUUAUAAGGAUUAUUCGCUCGUCUCGCCUCUGACUCACCUGUUUGCUGUUGUUUUGACCCUACCUGUUUUCAACCAUGUAUCUGUCUCGUUCCUCUUAAUAAAAGCUAGCGAAUGGAUCCGCUCGCCUCUUGUCUCACUCAUUCCGUUACAAUUAUAGUAUAACCUUUUUUUUUUUUUUUUUUUUUUUUUGUUAAUAAUUAGAGUUAAUAAUACCUUAAAAUAUUAGUAUUAUUAUGUUUUAAGUAUUAUUACGUUAAGAGCUAAAAGUGUUGUUGUUUUAGGAUGUUACAGAUUACAUUAUGAACAUUUUAUAACAUUAAUAUGUAAAUCUAUAUAUAAUAACUUGUUGGAUUAUGUAGCAACUCACAAUGUAAGUGUAAGUUUUGUAAAACUCUAUGUCUUCUUCUGCCCUGAAUGCUAAAUCAAGUUUAACACUGACUGUUGGAUCAUCUGAGAUUGGUGAUUUCAAGACUGCCGGGCUCGAACAAAUGUUGGUGAUUGCAGUAAACGUGUUCGCACUUCCAAAACUAAAUGAUUACCUAAAGACUGGCUUUCCCCUACCCACACUGCAGAGCUUUAGUUUGAUUAAUUCUAAAUUGCUUAUAAAAAACGGCUUUGUGGUCAUUUUAACAGAUGUUGAAGAUUCUUGGAUAGUCUCAGUGAAAACUAAGGUUCAAACAAAAUGAUCACUUCAUUGGAGUCCAAGUAAAAUGGCUUGCAGGGAAGGGUGGUGUGAUGUCUUACAGCUCAGUUCAGAGGAAGAUUAUUUGUUUUGUGAAAAUAAAUUAACAUAUUGAGUCCUUAGAACACAACAUAAAUGUGACAGAUACACACACACACACACCUACACACACAUUCAUAUGCUCUUCCAUCACAAUAUGUAACAUAUAGCAUACUAACUCUUUUACUAAACACAUAUACAAACAAUAAAUAGAUUUGCACUGAUGCUUGUGGUGUAUAUUGCACAAAUAAAUACAUAAAUGGAAUGGUACUCUUAAUAAGCUAUGGCAAAUAAGACAUUAUGUGUGUUGACUGAGAGUGUGGAUGGCCUUAGGGUAAAAACUGUUGAUAAAUCUGGAGGUCUGUGUUUUGAUUUAUCUGAAAUGUCUUCCUGAGGCCAAAAGGUGAAACAAAGAGUAGCUGGGGUGGAAACAGUCUGUAACAAUCUUUUUUGCUCUUGAAAGGUAGUGGGUGUUCGCUAUAUCCUGUAGUGUGGGAAGAGGGCAGCUGAUGAUUAUCUCUGCUGUGUCAAUGACCCUCUGUAGUGCAUUUUGUCCGCUGCUGUGCAGCCAGCAUACCACACUGUGAGGCAAUAUGUUAGAAUGCUCUCUAUUGCAAACAGUAGAAGGUCACCAGCAGUUUCCUUCUUAAAUUAUACUUUUUUUAGAACACGCAAAAAGUGCAAGCAUUAACUGUGGUGUUUGCAGACCAGGAGAUAUUGUUAGAAAUGUGGGUUCCCAAGAAUUUAAAAUUGUAAAUUCUUUCCACGCAGUCUCCAUUUAUGAAAAUGGGAGAGGGAUCAGAUCUGCACUUCCUAAAAUCUAAAAUAAUUUUCUAUUUUUCUCCUUUUUUAACAUCUCUUUUUUGUGUUCAAUUUGAUAAUACAAUAUUAAAAACACAUGAAAUAACACUUCAUUUCAACAUUUGCUUUAAUUGAGUUCCCAUUUUUUUUCUCUAUGCAAUGUAAUUUAAUAGUCAAUUUACAGUAAAUUACAGCAGUUUUGACAGCAGUAUAUUUCUGUUUUAUUAUGGUUUGUUUGCUUUAAACACAAUUUACAAUUUAAUGCUGUUUAACCCCACUGCAAAACCUUGUAGUGUCCACAAAGAGUAAAAGUGUUGCAGUUAAUUAGAUUAUUAACUGAAUAUUUAAGUGCUGAUUGAGCAUUAGUUCAACAUUAAUUGUUAACAAGCAGAAUCACUGAAGGAAAGUGAAACAUAAUGACUACAACUUCUAGCCACAGGCUUAGAUGAAAGUAGCUGAAAUAAAAAGACAUUAAUCUCUUAAAGAUCUCUGCAGAGAAUAAUUAAUCAUCUCCACAAACAGCAUACUUAUUGCUAACCACUUUGACUUUUUUUUCUUUUAGAAGUCUACAAAAGUUCUUAGUGAGAAUUAUAGAGGUUUAGAUGUUGAUGUUUUAUUGAGUUUUGUUUGAAGUUACCGUAAUAGCAGCUAGUCUAGUCAAGUCAAGUCACCAUUAUUUAUACACCGCUUUUAACGAUACACAAUUGUGACAAAGCGUCUGUACAGUGUUAAAUAGGAAAUAUUGCAUCAAUAAUGCCAAAGGGCAAUAGUAAACACUCAAUUUUCAGGUAAAGACAGUUCAUCAUUGGAUUCAAUGAUGUCAUCAUCUAGCUCAGUUCAGUUCAAAUAGUAUACGAUAUCAUUUGAAGAAAAAGUGUCUCCAACUAAGCAAACCAGAGGUGACAGCGGCAAGGAACCAAAACUCCAUCGGUGACAGAAUAGCCAUCUAGGUGACGAGGUCUUCACUGGGGAUCCGUCUCUGGGGCUCAUCUAGUCGAUGUGGUCUCCGCUGACAUUCAGGGCCAUAGAGGUUGUCUCUAGGUGCUGAUCCACCAUCUGGGCUGGGUACAGACUGGAUCAGGGGAUUGCAGUGACCAUCUGAUCUGGAUACAGGCUGGAUCUGGUGGUUACGGUGGCCUCAGAAUAAGAAAGAAACAGACUAA
This is a long non-coding RNA of Labeo rohita (rohu), 2898 nucleotides long. RefSeq lists it as uncharacterized. The transcript has 4 exons. The record is from RefSeq and is a predicted model, not a curated record. NCBI's taxonomy places the organism in Eukaryota, Metazoa, Chordata, Actinopteri, Cypriniformes, Cyprinidae.